Molecule: ribosomal RNA, 496 nt
Filed under: uncultured bacterium
Lineage: Bacteria
Description: partial 16S ribosomal RNA
Rfam family: Bacterial small subunit ribosomal RNA
Source: RNAcentral
GAUGAACGCUGGCGGCGUGCCUAAUACAUGCAAGUCGAGCGAACGGACGAGAAGCUUGCUUCUCUGAUGUUAGCGGCGGACGGGUGAGUAACACGUGGAUAACCUACCUAUAAGACUGGGAUAACUUCGGGAAACCGGAGCUAAUACCGGAUAAUAUUUUGAACCGCAUGGUUCAAAAGUGAAAGACGGUCUUGCUGUCACUUAUAGAUGGAUCCGCGCUGCAUUAGCUAGUUGGUAAGGUAACGGCUUACCAAGGCAACGAUGCAUAGCCGACCUGAGAGGGUGAUCGGCCACACUGGAACUGAGACACGGUCCAGACUCCUACGGGAGGCAGCAGUAGGGAAUCUUCCGCAAUGGGCGAAAGCCUGACGGAGCAACGCCGCGUGAGUGGUGAAGGUCUUCGGAUCGUAAAACGCUGUUAUUAGGGAAGAACAUAUGUGUAAGUAACUGUGCACAUCUGGACGGUACCUAAUCAGAAAGCCACGGCGAACUACGU